Molecule: ribosomal RNA, 107 nt
Filed under: Sphingosinicella sp.
Lineage: Bacteria; Pseudomonadati; Pseudomonadota; Alphaproteobacteria; Sphingomonadales; Sphingosinicellaceae
Source: RNAcentral
CCAGGUGAUCAUACCGGCAGGGUCACACCCGUUCCCAUUCCGAACACGGCCGUUAAGCCUGCCAGGGCCGAUGAUAGUCUAACAGCGAAAGUAGGUCGUUGCCUGGA